Molecule: ribosomal RNA, 331 nt
Filed under: Cordylobia anthropophaga (tumbu fly)
Lineage: Eukaryota; Metazoa; Arthropoda; Insecta; Diptera; Calliphoridae
Description: partial large subunit ribosomal RNA
Rfam family: Eukaryotic large subunit ribosomal RNA
Source: RNAcentral
AACUCCAUCUAAAACUAAAUAUAACCAUGAGACCGAUAGUAAACAAGUACCGUGAGGGAAAGUUGAAAAGAACUCUGAAUAGAGAGUUAAAUAGUACGUGAAACUGCUUAGAGGUUAAGCCCGAUGAACCUGAAUAUCCGUUAUGGAAAAUUCAUCAUUAUGAUUUUAAUAUUAAUAAUAUUAUAAUAAUGGUGUGCAUUUUUUCUAUAAAGGACAUUGUAAUCUAUUAACAUAAAAAAUAUUUAUUAAAAGAUCUUUGGCUUAAGUUUAUUCGAAUUAUUUUGCUUGCAAUUUAAUAUAGAAUAAAUGCCUUUGAUUUGAUAAAGUGUUG